UUAGGAAUCUUCCACAAUGGGCGAAAGCCUGAUGGAGCGACACUGCGUGAGGGAUGAAGGCCUUCGGGUCGUAAACCUCUAAAACGGGGACGAACAAUGACGGUACCCGUUGAGAAGCACCGGCUAACUCCGUGCCAGCAGCCGCGGUAAUACGGAGGGUGCAAGCGUUAUCCGGAAUCACUGGGCGUAAAGGGCGCGUAGGCGGUUUGUUAAGUCCGAUGUUAAAGACCGGGGCUCAACCCCGGCACGGCGUUGGAUACUGGCAGGCUUGACGGCUGGAGAGGCGAGUGGAAUUACCAGUGUAGCGGUGGAAUGCGUAGAUACUGGUAGGAACACCUAUGGCGAAGGCAGCUCGCUGGACAGCACGUGACGCUGAGGCGCGAAAGUGUGGGGAGCAAACCGGAUUAGAUACCCGGGUAGUCCACACCCUAAACGAUGCAUACUUGGUGUUGGCCCGUUGGGGUCAGCGCCGGAGCUAACGCGUUAAGUAUGCCGCCUGGGAAGUACGGCCGCAAGGUUG
RNAcentral lists this ribosomal RNA (520 nucleotides) under uncultured bacterium. RNAcentral describes it as "bacterial SSU rRNA". It matches the Rfam family "Bacterial small subunit ribosomal RNA", at positions 355 to 896 of the family's 1533-position model. The record is from RNAcentral.